Molecule: ribosomal RNA, 253 nt
Filed under: uncultured bacterium
Lineage: Bacteria
Description: partial 16S ribosomal RNA
Rfam family: Bacterial small subunit ribosomal RNA
Source: RNAcentral
UACGUAGGGUGCGAGCGUUGUCCGGAAUUACUGGGCGUAAAGAGCUCGUAGGUGGUUUGUCGCGUUGUUCGUGAAAACUCACAGCUUAACUGUGGGCGUGCGGGCGAUACGGGCAGACUGGAGUACUGCAGGGGAGACUGGAAUUCCUGGUGUAGCGGUGGAAUGCGCAGAUAUCAGGAGGAACACCGGUGGCGAAGGCGGGUCUCUGGGCCUUACCUGACGCUCAGGUGCGAAAGCUAGGGGAGCGAACAGG